UACGAAGGGUGCAAGCGUUAUUCGGAAUUACUGGGCGUAAAGGGCGCGUAGGUGGUUGUUUAAGUCUGUUGUGAAAGCCCCGGGCUCAACCUGGGAAUGGCAAUGGAUACUGGACAGCUAGAGUGCGGUAGAGGGUAGUGGAAUUCCCGGUGUAGCGGUGAAAUGCGUAGAGAUCGGGAGGAACACCAGUGGCGAAGGCGGCUCCCUGGACCAGCACUGACGCUGAAGCGCGAAAGCGUGGGGAGCAAACAGG
RNAcentral lists this ribosomal RNA (253 nucleotides) under uncultured bacterium. RNAcentral's name for it is "partial 16S ribosomal RNA". It matches the Rfam family "Bacterial small subunit ribosomal RNA", at positions 524 to 776 of the family's 1533-position model. The record is from RNAcentral.